GAAUCUUGCGCAAUGGGCGAAAGCCUGACGCAGCGACGCCGCGUGAGGGAUGAAGCUUCUCGGAGUGUAAACCUCUUUCGACCCGGACGAAUGCCCGCAAGGGCUUGACGGUACGGGGAGAAGAAGCCCCGGCUACCUACGUGCCCGCCGCCGCGGUAAAACGUAGGGGGCCAGCGUUGCUCGGAAUUACUGGGCGUAAAGGGUCUGUAGGCGGUGCGGUAAGUCCGGAGUGAAAUCUCCAGGCUCAACUUGGAGGCUGCUUUGGAAACUGCCGUGCUCGAGUGCGGGAGAGGCGCGUGGAAUUGCAGGUGUAGCGGUGAAAUGCGUAGAUAUCUGCAGGAACACCAGUGGCGAAAGCGGCGCGCUGGACCGCAACUGACGCUGAGACACGAAAGCGUGGGUAGCAAACAGG
RNAcentral lists this ribosomal RNA (412 nucleotides) under uncultured bacterium. RNAcentral's name for it is "bacterial SSU rRNA". It matches the Rfam family "Bacterial small subunit ribosomal RNA", at positions 359 to 776 of the family's 1533-position model. The record is from RNAcentral.